GACAAGGGAGACUAGUGUUAUUCAUCUUUAUUGGGUAUAUAGGGUACCUAGACGGAUUAUUUUGCCUUAACUGGUACUAAUGAUACUUGAGUUUUAUGUGUGAGGUAGAUCUCAGAACUACUGGAGUAGAGAUGAAAUAUUUUAAUACCUUUAGGACGGGUAAUGGCGAAGGCAAACCUCUAUGUAAAAACUGACGUUGAGGGACGAAGGCUU
Molecule: ribosomal RNA, 213 nt
Filed under: uncultured prokaryote
Description: partial 16S ribosomal RNA
Rfam family: Bacterial small subunit ribosomal RNA
Source: RNAcentral